Molecule: ribosomal RNA, 115 nt
Filed under: Candidatus Peribacteraceae bacterium
Lineage: Bacteria; Candidatus Peregrinibacteriota; Candidatus Peribacteria; Candidatus Peribacterales
Source: RNAcentral
CCUGGUGUCUCUAGCGACAGGGUCACACCCGAUCCCAUUCCGAACUCGGAAGUUAAGCCUGUCUGCGCCGAUGGUAGCCGGCGGCACAGCCCGCAAGAGUAGGUCGAUGCCAGGA